AUACGUAGGGUGCGAGCGUUGUCCGGAAUUACUGGGCGUAAAGAGCUCGUAGGUGGUUUGUCGCGUCGUCUGUGAAAUUCCGGGGCUUAACUCCGGGCGUGCAGGCGAUACGGGCAUAACUUGAGUACUGUAGGGGAGACUGGAAUUCCUGGUGUAGCGGUGAAAUGCGCAGAUAUCAGGAGGAACACCGGUGGCGACGGGGGGUCUCUGGGCAGUAACUGACGCUGAGGAGCGAAAGCAUGGGUAGCGAACAGGAUUAGAUCCCCUGGUAGUCCAUGCCGUAAACGGUGGGCGCUAGGUGUAGGGGUCUUCCACGACUUCUGUGCCGUAGCUAACGCAUUAAGCGCCCCGCCUGUGGAGUACGGCCGCAAGGCUAAAACUCAAAUGAAUUGACGGGG
RNAcentral lists this ribosomal RNA (398 nucleotides) under uncultured bacterium. RNAcentral describes it as "partial 16S ribosomal RNA". It matches the Rfam family "Bacterial small subunit ribosomal RNA", at positions 523 to 918 of the family's 1533-position model. The record is from RNAcentral.